GUGCAGACGUUGGCCACGCCUCCUGCGGGGCGGUCCCGGGUACCGUGUCCGGCCUCUUCCGCAGGACCUGCGCGGGCUGAAAGCUCUUCGGGGCCGGGCACCUGUUCCGCGCCCAGUGGAUAAAUGGCAAGCAAAAAGCGAGAAAUCCAGUUACAGACAGUCGUUAAUAGUCAAAGCCUGUGGGAUGAGAUGUUGCAGAACAAAGGCCUAACAGUGAUAGAUGUUUACCAAGCCUGGUGUGGACCUUGCAAAGCAAUGCAACCUUUAUUCAGAAAACUGAAAAACGAACUGAACGAAGAUGAACUUCUGCAUUUCGUUGUCGCAGAAGCUGACAACAUUGUAACUUUGCAGUCAUUUAGAGAUAAAUGUGAACCUGUUUUUCUCUUUAGUGUUAAUGGCAAAAUUAUUGCCAAGAUCAUUGGUGCAAAUGCCCCACUUGUUAAUCAAAAAAUUAUUAACUUGAUUGAUGAGGAGAGGAAAAUUGAAGCAGGUGAAAUGGUUCGCCCUCAGUAUCAUGAAAUUACGUUUGUGGACUCAGAUGCGGAAGAUGGUGAGGAAUCACCCUAUGAAAGUGCUGAGCAACUAUACAGUAUUGCUAUUAUCAAGCCCGAUGCUGUGAUUGCUAGAAAAUCUUUAGAAAUUAAAAAAAAAAUUCUCGAGGCAGGAUUUGUCAUAGAAAUAGAGGAUAAGAGAGUGCUCACUGAACAGCAAGUAAGGGACUUCUACAGUCGAAUAGCAGACCAGCCUGACUUUGAAGAUUUUGUCCUUUUUAUGACAAAUGGCCUGAGCCACAUUCUAGUGAUAUCUCAAGGAAAUGAAGAACAGCCUGCCUGGGAAGAAACUGAACCCAAUCCCGAGACUGAAACUAAAGUGGAUGAGGAUCAUCACCAUGAGGUGGCCCCACCUACGCUGAGGAAGGAGAAGCUGUACAGUUUACAAGAUUAUCUGGAAAGACAACAUAUAUCUCAGCUCUGUGAUAUUGAAGACGGUAUAGCUAACGUUAAUAAGUUUAUUGAUAUGUUCUUCCCUGAUUUUAAAAGUAUGAAAAACCUCAAAUUAGAAAAGAUCCUGGCAUUACUUCGACCAGAUCUCGUUCAAGAAAAGAAAGAGAAUGUUUUAGGUAUCAUCCAUGAUGAAGGCUUUAAAAUACUGAUGCAGAGACCAAUCGUAUUGUCAGAAGAAGAAGCACAAACACUGUGCAAGGAAUAUGAAAAUGAAGAUUAUUUUGAAAAUCUUAUAAAAAAAAUGACCAGUGGUCCAUCUCUAGCCCUUGUUUUAUUGAGAGACAAUUGUUUACAACACUGGAAAGAGUUAAUUGGGCCCAGCAGUGUUGAAAAAGCCAAGACAUCUCUUCCAGAGAGCUUAUGCGUGCAAUUUGCAGUGGAAGGUUUGCCUAUCAACCAGCUGUAUGGAAGUGAUUCGUUAGAAACUGCUGAAAAGGAAAUACAAUAUUUCUUUCCUCCUCAACAGACUUUAGCACUGAUUAAACCUCAUGUAACACAGGAACAAAGAGAGGAGAUCUUGAAAUAUAUUAAAGAGGCUGGAUUUGAAAUCACACAGAUGAAGGAAAUGCUCCUAAAUGAAGAAGCAGCAGACAAAAUGUACUCAAAAAUAAAAAGAAAAGACUUUUAUAAAGAUGUAUUGGAAGUGUUAUCUGAAGGUCUGUCUUUGGUCAUGAUUCUGACCAAGUGGAAUGCUGUUUCAGACUGGAGACGAUUGAUGGGUCCUGUAGACCCAGAUGAAGCAAAACUACUGUCCCCAGAUUCUAUCCGAGCCCAGUUUGGAACAAGUGUUUUGAAAAAUGCUGUCCAUGGAUCAUCUAAUAUCCAUGAAGCAAUGGAGACCAUCAAUCAAAUGUUUGAAGUGUUGGUUCCCGAGAACCCUGAGGGAAACUAAAAACUUUGAGAAGAUAAUGCAUGUAAGUUCGCACUGACAUACGAGCAUGUGGCACAGCUUCCUGGGAGGAAUAAAACGGAAGAUACUCUCUGGAGGAAAACUCAACGUUACCUCAAGUUAAAAACUCACCUCAAAGUGAAAAACGUAUGGGUGUGCAUGAUAACAAUAAAACAGGAAGAAGUGAUAGAACCGACGACUGGCUCAGGUCUCCACAAGAACCAAAACAAAACAAAAAGGAGGCUUUAUUAUUGCAAGUAUAUUAAUCUCCAGGCAGUAAGAAUUCCGGGCACGUAAGUUAAACAUGGCGAGUGGAGAGGACAAAUGACACAAAUAUUAUUUCGAGAUUCAUCCAAGGAGUCAGGUUCUAUUUAGGGGAAGCCAGAGCGUCCAAACACAGCGUCGCCAGUCGCCAACUCGAGAGGUAUGCCAGUUUCAGCUAGAACGGGACCCAAGCUCCCAAGAUGCCAAACCAGGCCAGCGAAAUAUCAAGCACAGGGGAUAACCCGGAUGACAUCGGAAGCCAUUCCCAGCAGUAGAAUCCAGUGAGUUGAAACCCCCUGGCUUAGUGAAAAAUAUUUGCAGCCCAAAUUCCUACAAGGGAAGAAAGUACAGUUUUGAGAAACGGCUGAACUCCUGACCCUUUUCCUGCCAGGCGGCGGGAGAGGCAAACUUGGAGAGGCUCUUCCUUGUGCAGCGGGUUGAAACUUGCUGCCUCUGUUUAACCGCAAGUCCCAAGUCCCAACGCUGCAGGAAUUUCCCUUUCUCCAUGGCCUGUCUUUUGAGCAAGGCUGAGAAGAAGAGCCAGGCUUUGAUCUUGCUUCCCGGGAUCGAGUUUCUGUUGAAGACAGUCAGUCCUUUGGGUCUCCGGAGGUAAUAACCCGCACAGCAUCCCAGGCAGAUGAUUCAUUUCAACCCUGGCUGAUCUCUGCAUUUUGACCUAAUGGCUCUAUCGGGCUCCGGAGCCUGUAUCCUAUUUGAGACGGAGAACCUUACGUCUGAACUAUGAAUGUGUUCCCAUAAACACCCCAGCCACGACAGCACUGUGAAAAGCUUCUUUUCCAAAACUUCCUAUGGAUCAGUACUCGCUUUUCUACCCAUAUGGGAUUUUGAAAAACAAAAAACAAAAAACAAAAAACAAAAAAACCAGUUAUACGGUUGUAUUUGGUUUCCCGUUGAAUUAAUAUUUUCUGUCUUACUUAAGGCACUGUCAACAUAACCUCGGUAUCAGAUUAUGGCCUCUUUUGAAAAUACUAAAUAUUUUGGAAGCAGAAAAGUUACAGAGAGCACUGUAACAACCACCUGUGUUCAGACCACCCACAAGUAAUAAAGGUUAACUGUUUUGUAGCGAUU
Molecule: RNA transcript, 3246 nt
Organism: Herpailurus yagouaroundi (jaguarundi)
Lineage: Eukaryota; Metazoa; Chordata; Mammalia; Carnivora; Felidae
Gene: NME8
Gene name: NME/NM23 family member 8
Exons: 20
Source: RefSeq, a predicted model, not a curated record